UGCGUUUCUUGUGGUCAUCAAUGGCAGAAGGUGAAACCAAUACUGUGAUCUUCUUCUCCACCAAUGUUGCUGCUCUAGCCUAGUCUUAUUUCAUCUCUUCAAAGCUUCACAAAGGUAGUUUGGUGCCUUGGAAGGAAGAAAAAGAAGUUGGUGAAGAAGAGUUGUUGGAGCUUGAGCUUGAAGAUCUGAGUUAUCAUCAUCAUUUGGCACUCAUUUAAGGUACCUCUUCAUCGAAGGGGAAGGAGUUGGCGCGGUAGCUGCACAUCAUACACGCACAUUGUUUUCCGCACCAUGAGUUAUUCUGGGAUUUUGUACUCUGACACUAUGGUUGUUUUUAUGUUUUGGUUUUCAGACACGAAAUAUGUUUAUGAAAUGAUAUGAUCAAACGAUGUUUAUUCAC
Lactuca sativa (garden lettuce) is the source of this 400-nucleotide long non-coding RNA. RefSeq lists it as uncharacterized. NCBI's taxonomy places the organism in Eukaryota, Viridiplantae, Streptophyta, Magnoliopsida, Asterales, Asteraceae. The record is from RefSeq and is a predicted model, not a curated record.